GUCUGCGGCCGUACCACCCUGAGCGCGCCUGAUCGCGUCUCAUCUCGGAAGCUAAGCAGGGCCGGGCCUGGUUAGUAUUUAGAUGGGAGAAAUGAGGCUUCGUUCAAGCAGGCU
This is a ribosomal RNA of Mesocricetus auratus (golden hamster), 114 nucleotides long. The record is from Ensembl. NCBI's taxonomy places the organism in Eukaryota, Metazoa, Chordata, Mammalia, Rodentia, Cricetidae.